Long non-coding RNA from Syzygium oleosum, 1593 nucleotides. RefSeq lists it as uncharacterized. NCBI's taxonomy places the organism in Eukaryota, Viridiplantae, Streptophyta, Magnoliopsida, Myrtales, Myrtaceae. The record is from RefSeq and is a predicted model, not a curated record. The transcript has 2 exons.
GCAUAUCUGAAGAAAUAAGAGCCAUCGCUUCUGGUGUUGGAAAGCGUCGUCGUGAAAGCUGCAUUGCAGGAGGGAGGAGAGGAGAGAAGAGAAGAUCCAAUCAUUUCCAUGGUGCCGGUCAGAUGUUUGACGAAAUGCGCAUAGAGAUCAAAUUGCUGGAUGUAGCGAGAAAGCGUAUGAUUAUACGCACGUCAAAUGUUGCUGUUCUUCUGCGACCAAGAACUUGAGGUAUAUAUCAAAGGAGGUGAAUAUUAUGAGAGGACCUUUAGCUUUCUCUACCCGGAAUUACUAUCUAAAUUGACUAAUUAUGUCAAAAGGAUAAUAUCAGCUCCAGCAUCAGUUCCGACCUUCGUAAGGGUCUCCUAAAACCUCUUAUAGAGUUAGCUAAUUUAGAUCCUUUUCAACUAUCAUGAUUGCUUUAUCUUAAUAUGGGAUCACCGACAGAUGUAACACUGAAAUUUGCCCAUUCUGUUCGUUUCAUUUCUCAUUCUUUUGGGCUUCAAUGGCGGAUGGGAAGGGCUUGCGUACACUCCGAUUUACCAUGCGUAGGGUCUCACAAAAUGCAACUUACUGACUGAAGUUACUCCAGGUAAACUCCAUGAUGUCCCGGAUUUUAUCACAUUGUGACAAACUAACUAGCAGAGCAAAAGAGAUUCUAAAUAGCGGAAUAUAUCUUGUUUCGACAAUAGUAUGGAAAAUGGCAGGGAGAACAGCUAUCUCUCGUACUAUGGAAUGAUGUAUCACAGAUGACGAAUAUAACUCUCAUUACUGUCCAUUUGUUUUAGAGACUACGAAUGUAGGAGAUGUUCAUAGAUCACGGAGACGUUUCUCGGCACUCACUACAAUAAGAACUCCGAAACAGUACAUGCGAUAUAUCUUACCAGGCACACUUCCCUUCACAAGAUUUAUCCGUUGGUUUAUUAAGACCCAAAAUUUGGAGUUGGCUCAUGCUUGAGAACUUUCUCUCAGUUUCAGAAACUGAAGAUGAGGGAGUCGACAAGAAUCUGCGAUACUACAUGAUAAGUGGCGUAAAUGGCAAAAUGUCCACAGGCUAACAUUGUAUGACCCAUUUUCUGGUUUAACUACCGCUAUGCAUAUUGCACGUAACAAGAUUGGUCUAUUAGAAGAAGGAAGUCCAUGAGUCACAGAACUACUUUUCUUGUUUUUCGGAAGUCUUGAGGACAUGAUCUUUUAUGACUGAAUCUCUUCUGAAUUGCGAUUAUAUUUUCCCACAUGAACAUCCAGUACCCAUCGGAACCCCAUAGAUCCACUUCGAUGUCUACUCAUGUUGAGAGGAAUAGGAGAACUGAUAUCGAGCUAUAUUCCAGCAAAAACAAAUGUCUCUUCACGGCCUUGCUUAGCAUGCGGAAAUCAAGAGAAGACAGCGAGUUACACAAGUCCUUGGAUGAGAACUAACAAGAACAGGGGAUGGAGGAAAGCAGAUAGACGCAUAUGUCAGUUUCUUUGCAGCGCAAGUAUGACCUCUGCUGCAUUUGUAAUUGUAGCUUAAGCUUUUGAGAAUAAUUUUAUGCCAAUAAGAAACAGAACGAAAAGAUUGUCCUGAUUGAAAUUCUACAGGGUAUUUCUUUGGAA